This is a non-coding RNA of Orientia tsutsugamushi, 127 nucleotides long. The record is from Rfam. NCBI's taxonomy places the organism in Bacteria, Pseudomonadati, Pseudomonadota, Alphaproteobacteria, Rickettsiales, Rickettsiaceae.
CAUGUUGUUGUACCAAUAGAAGCCUACUGGUAUAUGCAAUGGAGUGAUCCUAUGUAUGAAGCUAUCAGGACAAUACAUUCAUGGUUUAAGAAAAAUUGACUAACUAGAAAAAUAAGUUAUUGAAUAU